AUACGGAGGGUGCAAGCGUUACUCGGAAUCACUGGGCGUAAAGCGCACGCAGGCGGGCUGAUAAGUUGGAUGUGAAAGCCUACGGCUCAACCGUAGAACUGCAUCCAAAACUAUUAGACUAGAGUGUGGGAGAGGAAGAUGGAAUUAGUUGUGUAGGGGUAAAAUCCGUAGAGAUAACUAGGAAUACCAAAAGCGAAGGCAAUCUUCUGGAACACUACUGACGCUGAGGCGCGAAAGCGUGGGGAGCAAACAGGAUUAGAAACCCUAGUAGUCC
Molecule: ribosomal RNA, 274 nt
Filed under: uncultured bacterium
Lineage: Bacteria
Description: partial 16S ribosomal RNA
Rfam family: Bacterial small subunit ribosomal RNA
Source: RNAcentral